Molecule: ribosomal RNA, 246 nt
Filed under: uncultured Pseudomonas sp.
Lineage: Bacteria; Pseudomonadati; Pseudomonadota; Gammaproteobacteria; Pseudomonadales; Pseudomonadaceae
Description: partial 16S ribosomal RNA
Rfam family: Bacterial small subunit ribosomal RNA
Source: RNAcentral
CACUCUAAGGAGACUGCCGGUGACAACCGGAGGAAGGUGGGGAUGACGUCAAGUCAUCAUGGCCCUUACGGCCUGGGCUACACACGUGCUACAAUGGUCGGUACAAAGGGUUGCCAAGCCGCGAGGUGGAGCUAAUCCCAUAAAACCGAUCGUAGUCCGGAUCGCAGUCUGCAACUCGACUGCGUGAAGUCGGAAUCGCUAGUAAUCGUGAAUCAGAAUGUCACGGUGAAUACGUUCCCGGGCCUU